Molecule: ribosomal RNA, 776 nt
Filed under: uncultured euryarchaeote
Lineage: Archaea; Methanobacteriati; Methanobacteriota
Description: bacterial SSU rRNA
Rfam family: Archaeal small subunit ribosomal RNA
Source: RNAcentral
UCGGGAAACUGAGUAUAAUGAUCCAUAGUUCACUACGCCUGGAACGGUGAGUGGAUGAAAGCUCCGGCGGCAUAGGAUGGGCCUGCGGCGUAUCAGGUAGUAGGGGGUGUAACGUACCCUCUAGCCCUCUACGCGUACGGGUGUUGGGAGACAUAGCCCGGAGAUGGAUUCUGAGACACGAAUCCAGACCCUACGGGGUGCAGCAGGCGCGAAAACUUGGCAAUGCGAGAAAUCGUGACCAGGGAACUCCAAGUGCAUCGGGUAAGACCGGUGCUUUUCUUGACUCUAAAUAGGUCUUGGAAUAAGGGGUGGGUAAGGACGGUGCCAGCCGCCGCGGUAAUACCGGCGCCUCAAGUGGUAGUCGCUUUUAUUGGGCCUAAAACGUCCGUAGCCGGUCUGAUACAUUCGUGGGUAAAUCAACCAGCUCAACUGGUUGAAUUCUGCGAGGACGGUCAGACUUGGGACCGGGAGAGGUGUGGGGUACGCUCAGGGUAGGGGUAAAAUCCUGUCAUCCUGAGCGGACCACCUGUUGCGAAGGCGCCACACUAGAACGGAUCCGACGGUCAGGGACGAAGCCUAGGGGCACGAACCGGAUUAGAUACCCGGGUAGUCCUAGGUGUAAACGCUGUGGACUUGAUGUUGGGGGUGCUCCGAGCACUCUCAGUGUCGAAGCGAAGGUGAUAAGUCCACUGCCUGGGAAGUACGGUCGCAAGGCCGAAACUUAAAGGAAUUGGCGGGGGAGCUCCUCAACCUGAGGAUUGUGCGGUUUAAUUGGA